This 145-nucleotide non-coding RNA is filed under the name unclassified sequences. RNAcentral's name for it is "RT-14 RNA". It matches the Rfam family "RT-14 RNA". From Rfam's summary of the family: Cloacimonetes, Firmicutes, Proteobacteria. Nearby to self-splicing intron genes The record is from Rfam by way of RNAcentral.
CUCUCGUAGUCAGAUGUUAGGUUAUCAAGGUAAUCUAAUCAGUACAGAGAGAACAAAGGAGUUUAGUUCCAUGCUUUAAAGCAAAAAAUUGAUUGAAACUGAAGCCGAAAGUACCCUAAUAAUUAGGUGAAAUCUGUGAAAGGUU